GUGUCAGCCGCCGCGGUAAGACGGAGGGGGCAAGCGUUGUCCGGACUCACUGGGCGUAAAGCGCACGUAGGCGGCUGGCUGCGUCGGUGCUGAAAGCGCCAGGCUUAACCUGGCGAGGCGUGCCGAUACGAGCCGGCUUGAGGCAGGCAGAGGGUGGCGGAAUUCCGGGUGUAGUGGUGAAAUGCGUAGAGAUCCGGAGGAACGCCUGUGGCGCAAGCGGCCACCUGGGCCUGACCUGACGCUGAGGUGCGAAAGCGUGGGGAGCGAACCGGAUUAGAAACCCGCGUAGUCC
This 292-nucleotide ribosomal RNA is filed under the name uncultured bacterium. RNAcentral's name for it is "partial 16S ribosomal RNA". It matches the Rfam family "Bacterial small subunit ribosomal RNA", at positions 505 to 796 of the family's 1533-position model. The record is from RNAcentral.